RNAcentral lists this transfer RNA (71 nucleotides) under Ovis aries (sheep). It matches the Rfam family "tRNA". From Rfam's summary of the family: Transfer RNA (tRNA) molecules are approximately 80 nucleotides in length. Their secondary structure includes four short double-helical elements and three loops (D, anti-codon, and T loops). Further hydrogen bonds mediate the characteristic L-shaped molecular structure. tRNAs have two regions of fundamental functional importance: the anti-codon, which is responsible for specific mRNA codon recognition, and the 3' end, to which the tRNAs corresponding amino acid is attached (by aminoacyl-tRNA synthetases). tRNAs cope with the degeneracy of the genetic code in two manners: having more than one tRNA (with a specific anti-codon) for a particular amino acid; and 'wobble' base-pairing, i.e. permitting non-standard base-pairing at the 3rd anti-codon position. The record is from Rfam by way of RNAcentral. Lineage: Eukaryota; Metazoa; Chordata; Mammalia; Artiodactyla; Bovidae.
UCCCUGGUGGCUCAGUGGUAAAGAAUCUGCCUGCAAUGCAGGAGAUUUGAGUUCAAUCCUGAGUCAGGAAG